This is a long non-coding RNA of Venturia canescens, 736 nucleotides long. RefSeq lists it as uncharacterized. The record is from RefSeq and is a predicted model, not a curated record. Lineage: Eukaryota; Metazoa; Arthropoda; Insecta; Hymenoptera; Ichneumonidae. The transcript has 2 exons.
GGAUUUUUUUUCCACAUUUCAACCACACUUUAUCAAACUUUUGGAAAAUUCAUUCCGUUUCGUGGCGAUCGACGAAUGGCCGAAAAAUGUGCGAUCGCAGGUUCCUGUACGACGAACGACUCGAGUGGUUCGUCGUACUCGUUGACGAUGACCGCUCCGCCUCCUCGUGCCCGAUUGCUCCAGAGGCGAGGCACUCUUUCUAGUGCGCGCCUACGCGGAAGCACUCCCUCACCGGAUUGGCCACCGCUCAUAUCAAUCAUUAUUUCGGCAACGCGGUGGGUCCUGUCAAAAAGCGUGGAAGAACUGUUCGACUCGGGAUUGCAGCGCGUACUUUGCUAGCUUCUAUCUCGACGGACGACGAGGGAUCCGAAACGAGGAGCUACCUCGGCGAAUGAAAUUGUUUCACUUUCUUCAGGAUUGGAGCUAAAAAGUGUGGUUGUACGACAAAAUUGGUGUGGAUUUAAAAAGGUCAAGGCGAAUGACACUCUUCCAAUUCGAUUUUCCCUCCUUCCAUUAUCCCUUUGAGCCUUUCUCCGCGGUGCGUGCUUAAUUGGAAGAAAUCAGUAUGUGUGUCUAUGGACCAUUCGACGAUCGGUUAUAUUCCUCUUACGGUGUUUAUACGAGAGAGUUUAUCCGAAGCCGGACAAACGAUGGUAUGGAAUAAGCACGGAUCUACGAGCGAUCACGAUCCCAUGCGAUCGGACUUUUCAAUAAAGACAGAAUUUUUCUUCCUUUU